UACAGAGGGUGCAAGCGUUGUUCGGAAUUAUUGGGCGUAAAGCGUGUGUAGGCGGACGCCUAAGUGUCUUGUGAAAUCCCACGGCUCACCCGUGGAACUGCUGGGCAUACUGGGCGUCUUGGGCCAACUAGGGGCAGCCGGAACAAGCGGUGGAGCGGUGAAAUGCGUAGAUAUCUGGAGGAAUACCGGUGGCGAAGGCGGCAUCCUGGACCGGCAUUGACGCUGAGGAGCGAAAGCUAGGGGAGCAAACGGG
RNAcentral lists this ribosomal RNA (253 nucleotides) under uncultured bacterium. RNAcentral describes it as "partial 16S ribosomal RNA". It matches the Rfam family "Bacterial small subunit ribosomal RNA", at positions 524 to 776 of the family's 1533-position model. The record is from RNAcentral.